GUACGAUGUGUGCAGGUUCCAUUCCAAGACAAGCAGCAAUGUAACUAAGUUAAGAUAAUAAUGUGUACUUUCUGAAUAGGGUCGCAGCCGAAAGCAGCCUAAGGAUGGUUACACCAGCUUCAUCAGGUGCUUCCUCCGGGUGGAGGACUCGCAUCAGCCAAACGCCGGUUGCCAAGUGUGAGGGAAGGACCUCUCUCACCAAAGGUACUGGCCGUCACAGUGCCACCUAUUGCUGCAUACCAAUGGAAUCUCACCUUGAUGAAAAAUAAUUUUAAGAUAGAAUUUACAUAAUGCAAAUUCUAUCAAAUAGCCCUGAAAUAUUCGUUUCAUGAAAUUACUGUGAAAUUAGUUUUUUUGUUACUUUAAUUUAAGAUAAAUAACAAUGCGAUUUGAUUUAAAAAUAAAUGAAGUCAUGGCUUGUUAUUGCAUUUA
This 432-nucleotide long non-coding RNA is filed under the name Helicoverpa zea (corn earworm). Its description in RNAcentral is "uncharacterized LOC124638931, transcript variant X2". The record is from RNAcentral. Lineage: Eukaryota; Metazoa; Arthropoda; Insecta; Lepidoptera; Noctuidae.